Molecule: ribosomal RNA, 429 nt
Filed under: Actinomycetes bacterium
Lineage: Bacteria; Bacillati; Actinomycetota; Actinomycetes
Description: Actinobacteria bacterium partial 16S ribosomal RNA
Rfam family: Bacterial small subunit ribosomal RNA
Source: RNAcentral
UAGGGAAUCUUCCGCAAUGGGCGAAAGCCUGACGGAGCAACGCCGCGUGAGUGAUGAAGGUCUUCGGAUCGUAAAACUCUGUUAUUAGGGAAGAACAAAUGUGUAAGUAACUAUGCACGUCUUGACGGUGCCUAAUCAGAAAGCCACGGCUAACUACGUGCCAGCAGCCGCGGUAAUACGUAGGUGGCAAGCGUUAUCCGGAAUUAUUGGGCGUAAAGCGCGCGUAGGCGGUUUUUUAAGUCUGAUGUGAAAGCCCACGGCUCAACCGUGGGGGGUCAUUGGAAACUGGAAAAUUUGAGUGCAGAAGAGGAAAGUGGAAUUCCAGGUGUAGCGGUGAAAUGCGCGGAGAUAUGGAGGAACACCAGUGGCGAAGGCGACUUUCUGGUCUGUAACUGACGCUGAUGUGCGAAAGCGGGGGGAUCAAACAGG